Small nuclear RNA from Kogia breviceps (pygmy sperm whale), 102 nucleotides. NCBI's taxonomy places the organism in Eukaryota, Metazoa, Chordata, Mammalia, Artiodactyla, Physeteridae. The record is from RefSeq and is a predicted model, not a curated record.
GUGCUUGCUGUGGCAGCACAUACAUUAAAAUUGGAACGAUAGAGAUUAGCUUGGCCCCUGCACAAGGAUGACACGCAAACUCGUGAAGCGUUCCAUAUUUUU